AUAUUUUAAUAUAUGUGUGGUCUUUUAUCAUCAAAUAUUUGCGUGUCCUGUUAUAGUUUACGUAUACGUGUAGUAUACGACACAAUACGUUUCGACUAAACACGUAUGGACUUAACACGGUGUUACCGACGAUGUGUGCUACAGAAGUGGUAAUGCAGUGGCAUAAAAACCAAGCGUACAUGGGUUUGUAAUCCUGAAACGCACAAAAUACACUUUAUUGCAGGUGUUUGGUUAGCAGGAGACGUUUUACUUAGGCGCAAUAGUCCCGAAGCAAAAAGCGAAAGUAAAAACGAACAGGGCCGCCUCUAGAACGUUGCGACUGCUUAUCUAUUCCCCGUUUCCCAAUAAAAAACUUGUUCGGAGAAUUUAGUCCCGCACGGAAGAAAUUGCGAUCCCCUCCAUUAAAUGUAUGGUAGGUUCUAUUUGAGUCGUGGUGAUAUAGAUCGGGUGAAUUAACGUGAUAUAAUGUACGCGCUCACUGCAGUUCGUUUACAUAUCAAAAAUGCGAUAAAAACAGGUAAAUAUUGCAAUUUACAAUAACCCGAUGCAUGCUUAUCAAACACAAACACCAUUUCUACCCAUGCAUCCCAUAUUUUUGAGUAUUUUCAUGUUUCAGCGUCUGUUAACAAUUUUUCCACAAAUAAUGUGUGCGCAUGCGCACAGCAUUUGCUGUAAUACGCUAACAUUUUUCUAGGUAACGCUCUAGUGUGUGUUUCCUUAUUGUUUUUAAUUGUUUUAAAUUUGAAAAGAGAUGAAAAUUGUAUCAAUUAAAAAUACAUAUUGUGUUUAAUUAUAUUUUACAGAAAGAUACAUGUCAGCCUGAAAAACCUUAAGCAGUAUAUGUUUGGCAUGAUCAUUGCAGCAUGAAAAGCUGUUAAGGAAAACCACAUGAAAGUAGACAGAGCUGCUGUGACAUUUGAUGUUCCAAGACAAACAUUAAAGAACAGCGUUAUGAACAAAGUGAAUGUAAAAGCAAAGUGAGCGUUCUUGUUUGCAUUGGACGACGAGGAGCUGCUGGUUAACAAUCUUAAAUCCCUGGCACAGGUGGGCUAUGAUCUUAAUCGCCCACAAUUGAGUGUUCUUGCCAGUAAACUUGCAGUGAAGCGUGGUAGGCGUAAUUCAGAUGACAAGCUGAUUAAUAUCUGGUACUAUAACUUCCUGAAAAGAAGUGAUCAUAGACUAAGUAUAAAAAACAAGGGCCUAUCAUCCACUUGGUCAGCAGCAGUGACCCAAGAAAGCAUGUACUAUUACUAUUGUGAUCUUAAUGCUGUUCUUUAUAAGUAUAAUCUAAAGUCAAAACCACAUCUGAAAUACAACCAUUACGAGACCGGAAUUCAACCUUAGCACAGGCCAUCAAGUCAUUACGGGUGUUUCGUCAAGUAGAAUACGCAGUAACCUCACCAAAUACAGGCACUACUAUCAUAGUAGCCUGUGUAAAUACAGCAGGUGCCGCUAUACCACCUUACUAUAUAUUCAAAGGGAAAUGGACAAACGACAUGUUUAUGAAUAAUGCCAAAGCUUGUGCAGCCUACACCAUAUCAGACUCUGGUAGUGUGAAUGGGGAAGUUCUCACGAAGUACCUCAAUGAACACUUCUUAAAAUAUUUCCAAAGAGGAAGGCGACAACAUUGAACCCAUCUUGUUGAUUUAUGAUUUAUUCCCCCCAUGUGUCUCUUGACAUAGUAAGUUGACCAGAUAGCAAAAUGUGAUCCUUUUGGUUCUCUCACAACACAGUUCACAUGCUCUCCAACCGUUGGUAUUGCUUCGCUCCAGUAACGGCAACAUUCUAUAGGGAGUGCAACUUAUACAUGGCAAAAGAAAGGGGUAGGAUAAUUACGAAGUAUGAAAUCGCAGAGUUGUCAGGAAAAUCGUACUUGAAGUCAAUGAUCCAUGCUGGAUUCAGAAAAGCAGGAAUGUUGUCGUUUGAUGCAACUGAGGUUUCUAAUGAGAUUAUUUUGCCAUCACAAUCCAUUCCAAUAGAAAACAUGCAAUACAGAAGAAUCAAGCAUGACAAUGAAAGAACUAUUAGAUCAAAAACUUAGAUCGGCGCCAAAACCAAGACAACAUAAAACAAUCCCAAAUGAGUACAAGACAAAAGAAACCAAUAAUUGGAGGUAACCAAUUACAGAGGACUAAGUGUUCAACCAACUUCUAGAAUACGUAAUAGAAAGAACAUAAAACGAAUGAACAAAAAAGGAAAAACCAAAGAAACAGUGAAGGGUAAAGAAAUAGUUGAUGAAAGAAUGCAGCAAAGGCCACAAAAUGAAAACAAAUACAGUUUUAUCAGAUAUUGAAUAAGCGGACGAUGAUUCUAGCAAAUAACUGUAUUUAACAGGUUUUCUUCCCCGGGAAUGGGCCAGUGCGAUGGGAUAGUGUUUGUGAUGUGGGCACAGUGCACAGCUUUAGCCAUUGGUGUCACCUCAGAUUCUGCUCAGAAAUCAGAGUUGUACGCAGCUUUCUUCUGUACACAUUGUGUGGACCGUGAAAGUUGAAUGUCAAGGCUGAUUGACCAUACCAUUCUUUUCUUUGUGACUUUGUAAACAUUCCAUCAAUUAGAUUUGUGUUCAAGUUUAUGUUCUCUGCUCCACUUAUCAAGUUUAUUAUGUAAUAAAAUUAACUACUUUUGAACAGAGUGUUUUCAAUAAUGUUAUGUAAUGUAAUAGUGAUUAACUAUUUAAUAUUGUAACAAAUUAUUAACAUAUCUGUAUAUUAUUAGUUGUGCAAUUGAUAUAAAUGUGUAUAUGUCAAUUGUUGGUGAUGUAAAAUACAAUACAGUUGUUAACAAAAACAACACGAAGUUAGUAUAAUUUGUCUUAAAAACGAUACACUUGUCACUGUUGUCAUAUAUGUUUAUAGCAAUUAUCAAAGAAAUUAACCUCCUCUGCAAAGUCUUUGUUAAGAGUGUUUGCAGCAUGCAAACCUUGAAAUUGAAACAUUCAAUCAGAACCCACGACUCAACCAGAACCUUUUUUUCAAUUUGCCGGUUUGACACUGUCAACAUAUUCGAUUACUUUGAUGUAAACAGACGAUAAACAUUUUGGGAAAAAGGCAAAAAAGCACAUAGCAUACUCCACACGCAACUUCAAUCACCACCAUAAAAAGGGGAAUCGUCCUUGACAUGAAAAUUAAGUGUUUCAUCUGUUUAAAUUCGUUUGUGUUUUUUCCGUUAUUCGAAUAUGCCGACAAAAUUAUACAAAACAUAUUUAUCUGUUUUUCUAGGUAAGGAUUCGACUUGUGCAUUCAAGUGGCAAUGGCUCCUACCUGUUCACUGGGAGAUCUUCGCCACACACGCAAAGACAAGGUCGCUGACCUCGUAUCCGAUCUGAUCUACCCAAGGGAAGAACUAUGUAUGCACAUCGCUAUCAAUAUGUACGGAGCAACCAUGGGGCGAAUCGAUAUCCUUACAAAGGAUUACGGUAGUUCAACUCCAAAUUCCACCAUUGCGAGCUUCAACAUGGUGACCUCGAACAACCCGGUGUGGACCGAAAAAGACGUGCAGAUUCCGGAUCAGGGCUUCUACUACGUAAUAAUCCGCGCAGUCGUCGGGUCCGGCUUCGCUAGCGGCAUAGCCAUCGAUGACAUAAUCUUUAAUACUGGGAAAUGCUGAAUGUUUGAAAUGAACGUUAAGAUCUAUAUGUUCGUGAUUGGUUAUAUCCGGGUUGCGUUUAGAUUUAUUAAAUGCAUUCUUUUGUUUA
Dreissena polymorpha is the source of this 3694-nucleotide RNA transcript. It is a transcript of the gene named MAM and LDL-receptor class A domain-containing protein 1-like, with no coding region annotated. The record is from RefSeq and is a predicted model, not a curated record. NCBI's taxonomy places the organism in Eukaryota, Metazoa, Mollusca, Bivalvia, Myida, Dreissenidae. The transcript is spliced from 3 exons.